AGUGGGGAAUAUUGCACAAUGGACGAAAGUCUGAUGCAGCAACGCCGCGUGGAGGAUGACACAUUUCGGUGCGUAAACUCCUUUUAUAUGAGAAGAAAAUGACGGUAUCAUAUGAAUAAGCGCCGGCUAACUCCGUGCCAGCAGCCGCGGUAAUACGGAGGGCGCAAGCGUUACUCGGAAUCACUGGGCGUAAAGAGCGUGUAGGCGGGUAUUUAAGUUGGAAGUGAAAUCCUAUGGCUCAACCAUAGAACUGCUUCCAAAACUGAAUACCUAGAAUAUGGGAGAGGUAGAUGGAAUUUCUGGUGUAGGGGUAAAAUCCGUAGAGAUCAGAAGGAAUACCGAUUGCGAAGGCGAUCUACUGGAACAUUAUUGACGCUGAGACGCGAAAGCGUGGGGAGCAAACAGGAUUAGAUACCCUGGUAGUCCACGCCCUAAACGAUGUACAUUAGUUGUUGUGAUGCUAGACAUUGCAGUAAUGCAGUUAACACAUUAAAUGUACCGCCUGGGGAGUACGGUCGCAAGAUUAAAACUCAAAGGAAUAGACGGGGACCCGCACAAGCGGUGGAGCAUGUGGUUUAAUUCGACGAUACGCGAAGAACCUUACCUGGCCUUGACAUACCAAGAAGCUAAUAGAGAUAUAAGUGUGCUAGUUUACUAGAGCUUGGAUACAGGUGCUGCACGGCUGUCGUCAGCUCGUGUCGUGAGAUGUUAGGUUAAGUCCUGCAACGAGCGCAACCCUCGUGUUUAGUUACUAACAGAUUAUGCUGAGGACUCUAGACAUACUGCCUGGGCAACCAGGAGGAAGGUGAGGACGACGUCAAGUCAUCAUGGCCCUUACGGCCAGGGCUACACACGUGCUACAAUGGGGUAUACAAAGAGCCGCAAUACCGCGAGGUGGAGCAAAUCUCAUAAAAUAUCUCCCAGUUCGGAUUGUUCUCUGCAACUCGAGAACAUGAAGUUGGAAUCGCUAGUAAUCGUAGAUCAGCAAUGCUACGGUGAAUACGU
RNAcentral lists this ribosomal RNA (1005 nucleotides) under uncultured bacterium. Its description in RNAcentral is "bacterial SSU rRNA". It matches the Rfam family "Bacterial small subunit ribosomal RNA", at positions 353 to 1371 of the family's 1533-position model. The record is from RNAcentral.